CGAUAGCCGGUCUGAGAGGGGGUCCGGCCACAUCUGGGACUGACCAACGGCCCCGACUACUACGGGAGGCAGCAGUGGGGAAUAUUGCACAAUGGGCGAAAGCCUGACGCAGCGACGCCGCGUGAGGGAUGACGGCCUUCGGGUUGUAAACCUCUUUCAGCAGGGACGAAGCCCAAGUGACGGUACCUGCAGAAGAAGGACCGGCUAACUACGUGCCAGCAGCCGCAGCCGAA
RNAcentral lists this ribosomal RNA (233 nucleotides) under uncultured Actinomyces sp. RNAcentral describes it as "partial 16S ribosomal RNA". It matches the Rfam family "Bacterial small subunit ribosomal RNA", at positions 281 to 525 of the family's 1533-position model. Lineage: Bacteria; Bacillati; Actinomycetota; Actinomycetes; Actinomycetales; Actinomycetaceae. The record is from RNAcentral.